UACGGGGGGGGCAAGCGUUGUUCGGAAUUAUUGGGCGUAAAGGGCGCGUAGGCGGUUUGACAAGUCUGAUGUGAAAUCUCUGGGCUCAACCCAGAGUCUGCAUUAGAAACUGUCGGGCUUGAGUAUGGGAGAGGUGAGUGGAAUUUCCGGUGUAGCGGUGAAAUGCGUAGAUAUCGGAAGGAACACCUGUGGCGAAAGCGGCUCACUGGACCAUAACUGACGCUGAGGCGCGAAAGCUAGGGGAGCAAACAGG
This 253-nucleotide ribosomal RNA is filed under the name uncultured bacterium. RNAcentral's name for it is "partial 16S ribosomal RNA". It matches the Rfam family "Bacterial small subunit ribosomal RNA", at positions 524 to 776 of the family's 1533-position model. The record is from RNAcentral.